GUAUCGAAUUAUCUUUAAACGAGACUUAACACGCAGUCCAGAAAUCCGACGGAACAUAAUGAAGAGGUCAGUAAUUCCUCCUCCAAUCGAGUGUUCAUAAAAAAAGAAAAAGCAGUCUCGAAAUCUACUGAAUUUUACUAACUUCUAUCCCUAGUAUAGAAAAGCAAAUAAAUUAUUACUUAAAGUAAAAUAUUAAUUUGGUUAUUAUUAUUAAAAUAGUAAUUAAGUUACGAUACAAUCGAAGAUGAUGCAACAGGAAUCAUUCUUGGCCUUCUUCAUUAUGUUACUGCAGCUGCUAUAAAGAUGCAAGUUAUGUGGACUUUGGUUUCAGCAUUGCAUUUUUUCUCUUACUGAUGUAGUAUUCCUGAUUUCAAAGAAAAUCUUCACACAGGAUUGAUGCUUUUUUUUCUUCUUAAAUUUUAUUAUAUUUAGAAGACAAUAGUGAAACAUCGAUUAAAAGUAUUGCUGCUGAAAUACCAAGAAGAAGAAG
Molecule: long non-coding RNA, 490 nt
Organism: Parasteatoda tepidariorum (common house spider)
Lineage: Eukaryota; Metazoa; Arthropoda; Arachnida; Araneae; Theridiidae
Source: RefSeq, a predicted model, not a curated record